Molecule: ribosomal RNA, 482 nt
Filed under: uncultured bacterium
Lineage: Bacteria
Description: bacterial SSU rRNA
Rfam family: Bacterial small subunit ribosomal RNA
Source: RNAcentral
UUGAACGCUGGCGGCAUGCUUUAUACAUGCAAGUCGAACGGCAGCGGGGGCUUCGGCCUGCCGGCGAGUGGCGAACGGGUGAGUAAUGCAUCGGAACGUACCCAGUCGUGGGGGAUAACUACGCGAAAGCGUAGCUAAUACCGCAUACGCCCUGAGGGGGAAAGCGGGGGACCUUCGGGCCUCGCGCGAUUGGAGCGGCUGAUGUCGGAUUAGCUAGUUGGUGGGGUAAAGGCUCACCAUGGCGACGAUCAGUAGCUGGUCUGAGAGGAUGAUCAGCCACACUGGAACUGAGACUCGGUCCAGACUCCUACGGGAGGCAGCAGCGGGGAAUUUUGGACAAUGGGGGAAACCCUGAUCCAGCCAUUCCGCGUGAGUGAAGAAGGCCUUCGGGUUGUAAAGCUCUUUCGGCAGGAACGAAACGGCGGAAUCUAAUACAUUCCACUAAUGACGGUACCUGAAGAAGAAGCACCGGCUAACUACGU